Molecule: ribosomal RNA, 467 nt
Filed under: uncultured bacterium
Lineage: Bacteria
Description: partial 16S ribosomal RNA
Rfam family: Bacterial small subunit ribosomal RNA
Source: RNAcentral
ACGAACGCUGGCGGCGUGCUUAACCCCUGCAAGUCGCACGGAAAGGCCCUGCUUUUGUGGGGUGCUCGAGUGGCGAACGGGUGAGUAACACGUGAGUAACCUGCCCUUGACUUUGGGAUAACUUCAGGAAACUGGGGCUAAUACCGGAUAGGAGCUCCUGCUGCAUGGUGGGGGUUGGAAAGUUUCGGCGGUUGGGGAUGGACUCGCGGCUUAUCAGCUUGUUGGUGGGGUAGUGGCUUACCAAGGCUUUGACGGGUAGCCGGCCUGAGAGGGUGACCGGCCACAUUGGGACUGAGAGACGGCCCAGACUCCUACGGGAGGCAGCAGUGGGGAAUAUUGCACAAUGGGCGGAAGCCUGAUGCAGCAACGCCGCGUGCGGGAUGACGGCCUUCGGGUUGUAAACCGCUUUCGCCUGUGACGAAGCGUGAGUGACGGUAAUGGGUAAAGAAGCACCGGCUAACUACGUG